AUUGAACGCUGGCGGCAUGCCUUACACAUGCAAGUCGAACGGCAGCACGGGAGCAAUCCUGGUGGCGAGUGGCGAACGGGUGAGUAAUAUAUCGGAACGUGCCCAGUCGUGGGGGAUAACGUAGCGAAAGCUACGCUAAGACCGCAUACGAUCUAGGGAUGAAAGCGGGGGAUCGCACGACCUCGCGCGAUUGGAGCGGCCGAUAUCAGAUUAGGUAGUUGGUGAGGUAACGGCUCACCAAGCCGACGACCUGUAGCUGGUCUGAGAGGACGACCAGCCACACUGGGACUGAGACACGGCCCAGACUCCUACGGGAGGCAGCAGUGGGGAAUUUUGGACAAUGGGCGCAAGCCUGAUCCAGCAAUGCCGCGUGCAGGAUGAAGGCCUUCGGGUUGUAAACUGCUUUUGUACGGAACGGAACGGUGAGCUCUAAUACAGUUUGCUAAUGACGGUACCGUAAGAAUAAGCACCGGCUAACUACGUGCCAGCAGCCGCCGCCG
RNAcentral lists this ribosomal RNA (500 nucleotides) under uncultured bacterium. RNAcentral describes it as "partial 16S ribosomal RNA". It matches the Rfam family "Bacterial small subunit ribosomal RNA", at positions 30 to 523 of the family's 1533-position model. The record is from RNAcentral.